CCGUAAUCUACCCAGUUUUCGUAUCCAAAACGGAUAUCUGCGUUAAUUUUGGAGCUAAUACGUGCACCAACGUGCUGCUAGCAAUAGUGGCACGCACUUAUUAGAUCAAGGCCGAUUGGGGCAACCCUUUUGGUGACUCUGAAUAAUUUUGCGGAUCGUAUGGUCUUGUACCGACGACGUACUGGUCGAGCGGGUGCCCUAUCAACUAUUGAUGGAAGUCUAUGUGUCUUCCAUGGUUGUAACGGGUAACGGAGAAUAAGGGUUCGACUCCGGAGAGCUAGCCUUAGAAACGGCUAUCACAUCCAAGGAAGGCAGCAGGCGCGUAAAUUACCCACUCUCAAUUCGAGGAGGUAGUGACUAUCAAUAACGAGACAGAUCUCUUUGAGGUCUGUCAUUGCAAUGAGCACAACUUAAAGACUUUAACGAAGUCUAUGGGAGGGCAAGUCUGGUGCCAGCAGCCGCGGUAAUUCCAGCUCCCAACGUGUAUAUCGUCAUUGCUGCGGUUAAAAAGCUCGUAGUUGGAUCUUAGCUCAUGUCGGUAGUUCUCCAUGUGAGAUACUGCUCGGCUGAGCUGUUUCGCCGGUUUUCCGUAGUUUCGGCUGCGGUGACUGGUGUUGUAACUUUGAUUAAAUCAAUGUGAUUAAAACAGGCGUUUGCUUGAAUGCUUUAUCAUGGAAUAAUAGAAUAUGACUUCGGUCCAUUCUGUUGGUCUUGGGAUCGAAGUAAUGAUUAAAAGGAACAACUCGGGGGCAUCCGUAUCG
RNAcentral lists this ribosomal RNA (761 nucleotides) under Pristionchus sp. 7 TWN1156. Its description in RNAcentral is "SSU rRNA". It matches the Rfam family "Eukaryotic small subunit ribosomal RNA", at positions 110 to 899 of the family's 1831-position model. The record is from RNAcentral. Lineage: Eukaryota; Metazoa; Nematoda; Chromadorea; Rhabditida; Neodiplogasteridae.